This 484-nucleotide ribosomal RNA is filed under the name uncultured bacterium. RNAcentral describes it as "partial 16S ribosomal RNA". It matches the Rfam family "Bacterial small subunit ribosomal RNA", at positions 30 to 507 of the family's 1533-position model. The record is from RNAcentral.
AUUGAACGCUGGCGGCAGGCCUAACACAUGCAAGUCGAGCGGAUGAAGGGAGCUUGCUCCUGGAUUCAGCGGCGGACGGGUGAGUAAUGCCUAGGAAUCUGCCUGGUAGUGGGGGAUAACGUCCGGAAACGGGCGCUAAUACCGCAUACGUCCUGAGGGAGAAAGUGGGGGGUCUUCGGACCUCACGCUAUCAGAUGAGCCUAGGUCGGAUCAGCUAGUUGGUGGGGUAAAGGCCUACCAAGGCGACGAUCCGUAACUGGUCUGAGAGGAUGAUCAGUCACACUGGAACUGAGACACGGUCCAGACUCCUACGGGAGGCAGCAGUGGGGAAUAUUGGACAAUGGGCGAAAGCCUGAUCCAGCCAUGCCGCGUGUGUGAAGAAGGUCUUCGGAUUGUAAAGCACUUUAAGUUGGGAGGAAGGGCAGUAAGUUAAUACCUUGCUGUUUUGACGUUACCAACAGAAUAAGCACCGGCUAACUUCGUG